GAUGAAGAACGUAGUGAAAUGCGAUAAGUAGUGUGAAUUGCAGACUUUAGUGAAUCAUCGAAUCUUUGAACGCACAUUGCGCCCGCGAGUAUUCUCGCGGGCAUGCCUGUCCGAGCGUCAUUUCAACCCUCAGGGCCCGCCUGCUUCGGCAGGCGCGGCGCUGGUGUUGGGGAUCGGCCUAACCGCCGUCCCCCAAAUACAGUGGCGGUCUCGCUGCAGCCUCCCCUGCGUAGUAGCAACACUCGCAUGCGGAGCGCGGCGCGGCCACGCCGUAAAACCCCCGACUUUCUGAACGUUGACCUCGGAUCAGGUAGGAAUACCCGCUGAACUUAAGCAUAUCAAUAAGCGGAGGA
This 353-nucleotide unclassified non-coding RNA is filed under the name soil metagenome. RNAcentral's name for it is "partial contains 5.8S ribosomal RNA, internal transcribed spacer 2, and large subunit ribosomal RNA". The stretch from base 1 to 120 matches the Rfam family "5.8S ribosomal RNA", at positions 35 to 154 of the family's 154-position model. The record is from RNAcentral.